AGUGAACGCUGGCGGUAGGCCUAACACAUGCAAGUCGAACGGCAGCACAGUAAGAGCUUGCUCUUACGGGUGGCGAGUGGCGGACGGGUGAGGAAUACAUCGGAAUCUACUUUUUCGUGGGGGAUAACGUAGGGAAACUUACGCUAAUACCGCAUACGACCUACGGGUGAAAGCAGGGGAUCUUCGGACCUUGCGCGAUUGAAUGAGCCGAUGUCGGAGUAGCUAGUUGGCGGGGUAAAGGCCCACCAAGGCGACGAUCCGUAGCUGGUCUGAGAGGAUGAUCAGCCACACUGGAACUGAGACACGGUCCAGACUCCUACGGGAGGCAGCAGUGGGGAAUAUUGGACAAUGGGCGCAAGCCUGAUCCAGCCAUACCGCGUGGGUGAAGAAGGCCUUCGGGUUGUAAAGCCCUUUUGUUGGGAAAGAAAAGCAGCAGGUUAAUACCCCGCUGUCCUGACGGUACCCAAAGAAUAAGCACCGGCUAACUUCGUG
RNAcentral lists this ribosomal RNA (492 nucleotides) under uncultured bacterium. RNAcentral's name for it is "partial 16S ribosomal RNA". It matches the Rfam family "Bacterial small subunit ribosomal RNA", at positions 29 to 507 of the family's 1533-position model. The record is from RNAcentral.